This is a long non-coding RNA of Anguilla rostrata (American eel), 1070 nucleotides long. RefSeq lists it as uncharacterized. The record is from RefSeq and is a predicted model, not a curated record. Lineage: Eukaryota; Metazoa; Chordata; Actinopteri; Anguilliformes; Anguillidae. The transcript has 2 exons.
AAGACAUGAAGAAAAUGAUUAGCUUAAUUGGCUAUGAUGACUUAAUUGGCCAUGCUGAUCACUCCAUUAACUCAGGAUUAGCAGAAAGCAGACUCGCCAAAGGAAAAGGAAAACUCAGGCGUAGAUGCCAAGACUGAAGAAAGCUGGGUUGGUAGGCGCAGGAGCUAUGCCUCUCCAGAGGGCCGUUGAGACCGCGACUGGAAAUGGAAGCCCUAAUUCACCCCGCGUCCAGUCAUUUGCAGCCGCUGAACUUGGGAUUUGGUGGACGGGAGCGAGCCGCCGCGGAGCAAAGAUAAAAAUGGAAAUGGCGCCCUACAUGAAGUGGAGUGGGGGGGAAGGAGGAGGGGGGGUGGGGUUCUGUCAUCCCAACACAGAGUGAAUGAGAGAGAGCCAGAGACUGAUACUGCGGAUAGAGAGGCUUCAUAAAGCAAGGGAUCAGAGAGGUGUUGUUAUCAGGACCACAUUUAGAAGAUAUUGUACUGCUGCGUACACGUGUGCGUGUGCGCGAUACAUUAGCCUGCUAACCUCUCUCACUCGCCUUUGAUUUCCAGCUCCUCGACACAAAUGCUUCAGCACUUUAUAGUGGAUACAGCUCUCAGAGAAAACGUGUACCGACGAUCCGAAGGAACUAAAUCUGCUAAAAGUGUAGCUGAAUGCUUUGUCAACGUGUGUAUUUACAGGGAAACAUGUCAGAGAUCUUUUUUUUUUUUUUGGAAGGCACAGCCCUUUCUCGGCUCCGGAACAUCCCGGCUAGGCCAGCACAAUGCGGUUCAGGGCCAUUCAGGGUGGCUAACCAGGCUUUGUGAACAGCGUGAAGAGAGGAACAGAAAGGGCAGAGUCUGUAUAUUCCAGUUGCAGCGCAACAAAAGGCACGAGAAGGCCCCGAUCAUACCAGGUUCAGUGUUUCAACUCAGUAUAUAUAUUUAGAGUAAUGCAAAAGCUCUACCACUCGUUACCAUUACCGGUACAGUGCUCAGUCAAUGCUCUCCCCCUGUAACUCUACAUCUAACGUAAAAAGCUUUAACUAAUGUAUCUCAACGUAUCUCCUCAAAUAAAGCAUUAAAUCUUAA